GAUGAACGCUGACAGAAUGCUUAACACAUGCAAGUCGAUGAGAAGACUCCCUUCGGGGAGAGGGUAUCAUGGCGGACGGGUGAGUAACGCGUAAAGAACUUGCCAUAUGGACAGGGAUAACCGAUGGAAACGACGGAUAAGACCUGAUAUAAUGAAUUAAUGGCAUCAUUGAUUCAUGAAAAGCAAUGCCAUAUGAGAGCUUUGCGUCCUAUUAGCUAGUUGGUAGUGUAACGGACAACCAAGGCGAUGAUAGGUAGCCGGCCUGAGAGGGUGGACGGCCACAAGGGGACUGAGAUACGGCCCUUACUCUUACGGGAGGCAGCAGUGGGGAAUAUUGGACAAUGGAGGUAACUCUGAUCCAGCAAUUCUGUGUGCACGACGAAGGUCUUCGGAUUGUAAAGUGCUUUAAGUUGGGAAGAAAAAAAUGACGGUACCAACAGAAUAAGCGACGGCUAAAUACGUG
RNAcentral lists this ribosomal RNA (463 nucleotides) under uncultured organism. Its description in RNAcentral is "bacterial SSU rRNA". It matches the Rfam family "Bacterial small subunit ribosomal RNA", at positions 28 to 507 of the family's 1533-position model. The record is from RNAcentral.